GUCAAUGUGGAGGCUAUAUACAGGGGGUACCGGUACAGAGUCAAUGUGGAGGCUAUAUACAGGGGGUACCGGUACAGAGUCAAUGUGGAGGCUAUAUACAGGGGUUACCGGUACAGAGUCAAUGUGGAGGCUAUAUACAGGGGGUACCGGUACAGAGUCAAUGUGGAGGCUUUAUACAGGGGGUACCGGUACAGAGUCAAUGUGGAGGCUAUAUACAGGGGUACCGGUACAGAGUCAAUGUGGAGGCUAUAUACAGGGGAUUACGGUACAGAGUCAAUGUGGAGGCUAUAUACAGGGGGUACCGGUACAGAGUCAAUGUGGAGGCUAUAUACAGGGGGUACCGGUACAGAGUCAAUGUGGAGGCUAUAUACA
Molecule: long non-coding RNA, 372 nt
Filed under: Salmo salar (Atlantic salmon)
Lineage: Eukaryota; Metazoa; Chordata; Actinopteri; Salmoniformes; Salmonidae
Description: lncRNA (ENSSSAG00000083633.1)
Source: RNAcentral